Molecule: long non-coding RNA, 249 nt
Filed under: Phoenix dactylifera (date palm)
Lineage: Eukaryota; Viridiplantae; Streptophyta; Magnoliopsida; Arecales; Arecaceae
Description: long non-coding RNA (PDAC_LNC014955)
Source: RNAcentral
AGAGGAUGCCUAGGAAAGUAUUUUUGGCAUGUUUGGUUGACCAUGGAAAAGUGACAAAUUUCCAAGGUGCUUAUGUUUGGUUGGCCAUCCACUUUUCUAGGAAAGUUAUAUAUAAUUCCUAUUAUGCCCUUAAUAAAAAUUAGGUUUUUAAUGCCUCUUUAAUGCUUCUUUAAUACUGAAGGGACUUUUUGGGAAAAAGUAAAAAUGAAGUGAUUCCCGCCUCAUGGGAAAGUAACUUUCCCAUGUUUC